Non-coding RNA from Papio anubis (olive baboon), 283 nucleotides. Lineage: Eukaryota; Metazoa; Chordata; Mammalia; Primates; Cercopithecidae. The record is from Rfam.
UGGCGCCCGAACAGGGACCUGGAAACGAGGGACUCCGUGAGGAAGAGGACGCCAAAGGACGGUCGACCGUUAACAAGGACAAAAGAAAUUAAACUUUUUCGAUCACCGCGGGAACCUGCCGCGUCAGAAUCGAAGGUAAGUGGCGCGUCCGAAAUGGGACAAGAAUUAAGUCAGCAUCAAAUUUAUGUAGGACAAUUAAAAGAGGCUUUAAAGAUACGAGGAGUAAAGGUUAAAGGUAAUGAUUUGUUUAAAUUUUUUGAUUUUGUAAAAGAUACUUGCCCUU